AACGAACGCUGGCGGCAUGCCUAACACAUGCAAGUCGAACGAGACCUUCGGGUCUAGUGGCGCACGGGUGCGUAACGCGUGGGAACCUGCCCUUAGGUUCGGAAUAACUCCCCGAAAGGGGUGCUAAUACCGGAUAAUGUCUUCGGACCAAAGAUUUAUCGCCUUUGGAUGGGCCCGCGUUGGAUUAGCUAGUUGGUAGGGUAAAAGCCUACCAAGGCGACGAUCCAUAGCUGGUCUGAGAGGAUGAUCAGCCACACUGGGACUGAGACACGGCCCAGACUCCUACGAGAGGCAGCAGUGGGGAAUAUUGGACAAUGGGCGAAAGCCUGAUCCAGCAAUGCCGCGUGAGUGAUGAAGGCCUGAGGGUUAAAGCUCUUUUACCCGGGAUGAUAAUGACAGUACCGGGAGAAUAAGCGCCGGCUAACUCCGUG
Molecule: ribosomal RNA, 431 nt
Filed under: uncultured bacterium
Lineage: Bacteria
Description: partial 16S ribosomal RNA
Rfam family: Bacterial small subunit ribosomal RNA
Source: RNAcentral